This 802-nucleotide ribosomal RNA is filed under the name uncultured organism. RNAcentral describes it as "bacterial SSU rRNA". It matches the Rfam family "Bacterial small subunit ribosomal RNA", at positions 676 to 1479 of the family's 1533-position model. The record is from RNAcentral.
UAGGGGUGAAAUCGGUAGAUAUCAGGAAGAACACCUGUGGCGAAGGCGAGCUUCUGGCCAAUGAACUGACGCUGAAGGCGCGAAAGCGUGGGGAGCGAACAGGAUUAGAUACCCUGGUAGUCCACGCUGUAUACGAUGUGCACUAGGUGUUGGUUGUAGAAAUGAUCGGUGCCGAAGCAUACGCGAUAAGUGCACCGCCUGGGGAGUAUGCUCGCAAGGGUGAAACUCAAAGGAAUUGACGGGGGCCCGCACAAGCGGUGGAGCAUGUGGUUUAAUUCGAUGAUACGCGAGGAACCUUACCAGGGCUUGACAUAUGCAUGACGGUCGUAGAGAUACGGCUUCCCUUCGGGGCGUGUAUACAGGUGCUGCAUGGUUGUCGUCAGCUCGUGCUGUGAGGUGUUGGGUUAAGUCCCGCAACGAGCGCAACCCCUGCUGUCUGUUGCCAGCAUUUCGGAUGGGGACUCAGACGGUACUGCCGGUGACAAACCGGAGGAAGGUGGGGAUGACGUCAAAUCAUCAUGGCCCUUAUGUCCUGGGCUACACACGUGCUACAAUGGCCGGUACAGAGCGACGCGAAACCGCGAGGUGGAGCAAAUCGCAGAAAGCUGGUCUCAGUACGGAUUGGAGUCUGAAACCCGACUUCAUGAAGUUGGAAUCGCUAGUAAUCGCGCAUCAGCAUGGCGCGGUGAUACGUUCCCGGGCCUUGUACACACCGCCCGUCACACCACCCGAGUUGGGGGUACCCGAAGUUGCUCGUCUAACCGGUUACGGAGGACGGUACCGAAGUAUGCCUGUAAGGGGG